This 404-nucleotide ribosomal RNA is filed under the name uncultured bacterium. RNAcentral describes it as "bacterial SSU rRNA". It matches the Rfam family "Bacterial small subunit ribosomal RNA", at positions 917 to 1322 of the family's 1533-position model. The record is from RNAcentral.
GGGCCCGCACAAGCGGUGGAGCAUGUGGUUUAAUUCGAUGCAACGCGAAGAACCUUACCUACUCUUGACAUCCAGAGAAGCUUGAAGAGAUUCGAGUGUGCCUUCGGGAACUCUGAGACAGGUGCUGCAUGGCUGUCGUCAGCUCGUGUUGUGAAAUGUUGGGUUAAGUCCCGCAACGAGCGCAACCCUUAUCCUUGUUUGCAGCACUUCGGGUGGGAACUCCAGGGAGACUGCCGGUGAUAAACCGGAGGAAGGUGGGGACGACGUCAAGUCAUCAUGGCCCUUACGAGUAGGGCUACACACGUGCUACAAUGGCAUAUACAGAGGGCAGCAAGACCGCGAGGUGGAGCGAAUCCCAUAAACCGUGGCUCAGUUCAGAUCGUAGGCUGCAACUCGCCUACGUG